This 1443-nucleotide ribosomal RNA is filed under the name Lactobacillus sp. SXVIII10(2011). Its description in RNAcentral is "16S ribosomal RNA". It matches the Rfam family "Bacterial small subunit ribosomal RNA". Lineage: Bacteria; Bacillati; Bacillota; Bacilli; Lactobacillales; Lactobacillaceae. The record is from RNAcentral.
UGCAAGUCGAACGAACUCUGGUAUUGAUUGGUGCUUGCAUCAUGAUUUACAUUUGAGUGAGUGGCGAACUGGUGAGUAACACGUGGGAAACCUGCCCAGAAGCGGGGGAUAACACCUGGAAACAGAUGCUAAUACCGCAUAACAACUUGGACCGCAUGGUCCGAGUUUGAAAGAUGGCUUCGGCUAUCACUUUUGGAUGGUCCCGCGGCGUAUUAGCUAGAUGGUGAGGUAACGGCUCACCAUGGCAAUGAUACGUAGCCGACCUGAGAGGGUAAUCGGCCACAUUGGGACUGAGACACGGCCCAAACUCCUACGGGAGGCAGCAGUAGGGAAUCUUCCACAAUGGACGAAAGUCUGAUGGAGCAACGCCGCGUGAGUGAAGAAGGGUUUCGGCUCGUAAAACUCUGUUGUUAAAGAAGAACAUAUCUGAGAGUAACUGUUCAGGUAUUGACGGUAUUUAACCAGAAAGCCACGGCUAACUACGUGCCAGCAGCCGCGGUAAUACGUAGGUGGCAAGCGUUGUCCGGAUUUAUUGGGCGUAAAGCGAGCGCAGGCGGUUUUUUAAGUCUGAUGUGAAAGCCUUCGGCUCAACCGAAGAAGUGCAUCGGAAACUGGGAAACUUGAGUGCAGAAGAGGACAGUGGAACUCCAUGUGUAGCGGUGAAAUGCGUAGAUAUAUGGAAGAACACCAGUGGCGAAGGCGGCUGUCUGGUCUGUAACUGACGCUGAGGCUCGAAAGUAUGGGUAGCAAACAGGAUUAGAUACCCUGGUAGUCCAUACCGUAAACGAUGAAUGCUAAGUGUUGGAGGGUUUCCGCCCUUCAGUGCUGCAGCUAACGCAUUAAGCAUUCCGCCUGGGGAGUACGGCCGCAAGGCUGAAACUCAAAGGAAUUGACGGGGGCCCGCACAAGCGGUGGAGCAUGUGGUUUAAUUCGAAGCUACGCGAAGAACCUUACCAGGUCUUGACAUACUAUGCAAAUCUAAGAGAUUAGACGUUCCCUUCGGGGACAUGGAUACAGGUGGUGCAUGGUUGUCGUCAGCUCGUGUCGUGAGAUGUUGGGUUAAGUCCCGCAACGAGCGCAACCCUUAUUAUCAGUUGCCAGCAUUAAGUUGGGCACUCUGGUGAGACUGCCGGUGACAAACCGGAGGAAGGUGGGGAUGACGUCAAAUCAUCAUGCCCCUUAUGACCUGGGCUACACACGUGCUACAAUGGAUGGUACAACGAGUUGCGAACUCGCGAGAGUAAGCUAAUCUCUUAAAGCCAUUCUCAGUUCGGAUUGUAGGCUGCAACUCGCCUACAUGAAGUCGGAAUCGCUAGUAAUCGCGGAUCAGCAUGCCGCGGUGAAUACGUUCCCGGGCCUUGUACACACCGCCCGUCACACCAUGAGAGUUUGUAACACCCAAAGUCGGUGGGGUAACCUUUUAGGAACCAGCCGCCUAAGGUG